RNAcentral lists this unclassified non-coding RNA (7715 nucleotides) under Leishmania donovani. Its description in RNAcentral is "gene:LdHU3.18.1680(CDS-product:hypothetical_prote in_conserved)". The record is from RNAcentral. Lineage: Eukaryota; Euglenozoa; Kinetoplastea; Trypanosomatida; Trypanosomatidae.
CACACACCUGCCACUUGAACGCCCCGCCCUGCACGCACCCGGGUGCAUACACAAGUCUUGAGCGCACACACGCGGAGGGGGAGGACGACACCCACACACACGAGGAAACCAAACCCAUCAACCAAAAGCUGAAGGAAGCGCCACGAAACAUAUCUAAAACGAUAAACCAACAACAGCAAAAAAAAACAUACGUCACACCACGCACAUCACACACACCUACGCCACAGCGACAGAAGGAAGGAACCAGAACAUCAAAGCAGCACACACACCCACAGACACACAGACAGACACACCACCCAAGAGAACGAAAAAAGGGGGAGGGGACCACCAAAGGAAAAGAAUAAAAGAAACAUAACCUUCUAUUUUGUAUUUAACCGUCUCUCUCUAUAUAUAUACUUCUCAGACUCUACGCACUUUUUUUUUGUUCUCUUUCCGUUGACAUACGCCUCUUUCUUUUCUCGGCCUUUCUCUCUCUCACUUUCUCUCGUAGCUUCCUCUUGUCCGCCAUCUCUCUUUGUCUGCCAGACUCUCUGUUUGCCUGGAGUUGUGGCUUCUCGCGGCACAGCUUACCUUUUUUUUCCUGUGCGUGUGCGUGUGAGUGUGAGUGCGCUUUUUUUCUUUGCUGGCGUGGCGCACACCUCUGUCUGCCUGCUUGUGCGUGUUUCUGCGUGUACCCAACCAGCACGCCCUUUUAUUGUUACUAGAAAAAGAAAACGAGGCAGGCAAAAUCGGCGUAGAGGGCAAGAAUACAAGGCGUCAGGGGACUGAACCGCGCGUGCGCACAUCCGUUGAGCACACAGCCAGACACCCCACCCCCCUCACACACGCAUAUACGGGCACACCCAUUUUUUGCUUCCUUCCCCCCUCUUUCCUACCUCUGAGCUCUCCUACUCGUUCUGUCGGUUUUGAUUUCUUUUUUUUUUGUUUUGCCGUCGUCUUUGCCAGAACUUACCUCCUCUCUACCUGUUUUGAGGGCCGUCACGCACACGCGCGCCAGUUUGCAACAAGCUUCUGCUGCUGCUGUUACUUGUGGAGAGAGGAAAAGAAACUUUGACUUGCAUCUUUCCGUGCUGAGCGUGUUGCUGCUGGCUGCUUUUGGUCUAGCGUUCUGUCUUCGAAGGAAGAGAAAUAACGAACCAAGCGCACGCACACACAUACACUAAAGAGGGAGACGGGUUACGGCUUUGCUGCACGCGCUGCGUCCCUCUUAACCCUCUCUUUCCUUUUUUUUUCGGUUUUCACGCUCUCUUCAUCUCCUCCAGGGUCACUCGUCCCUCCUUCCUUCCCUCUUAACCUUACACCCUUUCCUCCCUGUCUCGGGCGCGCGCUCUCUCUCCCUCUAUGAGCGUCACAAAUAUUGACUACUUUCGUUUCUUCUAUUGUCUUGUUUUUGUUCCUGUUUACUCGUGAGUCUGUGCAGCCUUUUUUUUUUGUUUUUGUUUUGCUCUUUGACCCCAUCAUCAUCAUCACUGUCCAUUUCUUUGUUUGCUUAUCCCUCCCCUCCCCCUCCUCCUCCUCCUUCUCUUGGUUGAGCAACCACCAAAAAAAAAAGAAAGCAGAGCAUACGGAAGAAGAAGCAAAGAAACAAACAGAAAAAAGGAAGCGGCGACAGCAAGAGACACCCCCCUCCCCCCACACACGCAGACACACACACACACACACACACGACUACACCUUGUCCGUCUCCUUCCCAUCACGCUCCACUUGCCACGAAGUGUAUGCGUCUUUGUAUGCCUGUGCCUUCGUUGUCUCUCUGCUCUCUCUAGCUUUUCUUUUAUAGUUCUUUAUAUAUAUUUUUUUUUUCUCCCUCUUUGCCCUCGUCAUCUCCGUCUCUCUAUGCAUCUUCCUCCUUCUUCCACGCCGACUGCAUCGCGCUCUUCUUCUUGUUUUGCUUUUUUUCUUUGCUUGUACGCCCCCCUCCCCCGUUUCCCUCUUGUACGUUCAAGAGAAAUAUAACACGAGAAGACGGCGAGAGAUCGAGGGAGAGAGAGACAGUGACGGCAAGCGGCCAGAACACGAACACGGACGCAUAUAUAUACAUAUAUAUAUUGCUAUAUACAUAAACAAUAUAUACACAAACAUACACACACACACACACACACAGCGCCACUCUCACUUUGGUUGAGUUUCUUUUUUCGCCUUUUCCUUUUUACGAUAAGGAUCGAAAAAAAAAAACGACGACGACAACAACAACAAAGAACCGCAAGAGAAAGGGGUAACGACAACCGUGGCAUUGUGAAGGAUACGAAAAGCCUACGUGCAACCGCCUGAGGGAGCGGCGGAGCGAUUCUUAUUGGCAUCCACAUCCUGUCCUACCUGAAGAAAGGUGAACAAAUACGAGCACCUCUUCCGUGCUUCAUUCUUUUUUUCCCCUUUUUUGCUGUACUGUGUGCUGCGUGUUUCUUUGUGCAUUUUUCUGUAUUUUUUCCACCUUUUCUUCAUCUGUGCCUCCGGCUCACGUGCACAACCUUACACGUCUCUCCCCUCUUCUCUCCGCCUUCAUUGCUCUUCUCGUCGUUUUGGUUGUUCCGUUUCUCUGUCUUUAGGGGCUCACCAUCUCUCUUUUUCCCUUUUUUUUUAUCGCUGGGCGAGCAAUGCUUAACACGGGCAAGUCCAUGACGUUGAAUUCACACUACCCGUCCAGUGGCUCUGCGGCGGGCAUGCCGGCGCCAGGGCUCGCAGUGAGCGCUACUGGACAGUCAGGCCACGGGGACAUGGCUUCCUCUCCCUCUAUCUCGGUUGACCAAGCGCCGACCACCCCUGGAAGUGACGCGAUUAACUUCUUCGCGAAAGCACUGUCUUCCUACAAGUCGCACUUUGGGGACUCUGCCUCCGGCGUCGUGGCCAGCAGCGCCAUGCCCGUGUGCUCCGCCCCGGAUACACCCCUCCAGAAGGGAAUCAACAGCGGCUACUCUGCUGGGGGUCCGUCGAGGAUCUCGUUGUCCGGAAGUGUAGGGGCCUCGGCGUCAUCGUGCGGUUUCGCUGGAUCGCCAGCGUUUGCGUCUGGGAACGGCGUCAUCGGCGCUGGUGCUGGCUUACACAGCAACUCGUCGUCCUUCGGUAACAGCCCACAGACGGUGAGCAUCACGCCGCUUGUGAAGUUCGGCUCACCGUCUUCGGCGUGCACCGUGGCGCGGCCGGCUUCGCCCUCCGCUGCUGAUGGGGUAGCCUGUGGCGGCGAGGCCGCCGUUGCCAGCGACAUUGUGAAUGCCCCGGAACCUAUGAGGCCCACAUGUAUCCGUAACUUGGUGGACGGCGUUGGCGCGCCGUUUCAGGCGAUCUACUCGUCUUCGUCGUCGUCGACGUCUUCGGCUCCCAGCCCACUCGCGCAAACGACUUCGUCGCCGCAAUGCGGCGGGAACACCAGCUGCGUCUCCCCCAGCGGCACCUGCUCUCUUCUCUUUGAAGCGGAGGUGAACAUCUCUAGCCCGAACACAGAAACGGCGUCAGCCGCGCAGGCGCUUGACAAGGACGCGCUCGGUGAGACUCACCAGUGCACCUUCAUCUCUCCCCCCGAGAACAAUGCCAAAGCCGGCGAGGGCAGGACGCGCUCGCCCAAGACGCCAAGCCGCGGCGAUCCUUCCAAGUCAUGUGGCUCGGCGCCGUCGGCCAAGUCGAACCUGCAUGCAGAUCACGCGGCGGCACCGCCGAAGAACUCCCCGAACCAUUCGAAGCAGCGACAGCAGCGCGCCGGCGCCGCGUCACGGCGUCAGCAUGUGAGCGGCAGCAACUGCUCCCUCUCCACUGGCCAGCUGGCUGCUGAAAGUCUGCAGAAAGGCGGCAGCAGCCCCACCAGCCAGGGCGAGCUUGUUAGCGUCUACGAUUCAGAUUUCGAGACAUUGCUAUCUAUUCCAGCGUCGCAGGUGCUGCACCGCCCAAACCCGGCUCUGGGCGUGUCGCGGCUCGUGCUGUGCCGCAAGUUCAAUCUUGAGAACCCCCAAAGCUGCUCGAAGGGCGACAUGUGCAAGUUCGUGCACGCCGAUAUCCGCAAAGCGUCGCGGUGCAGCAUCCACGUCAACUAUGCAUGGCGCAGCCUCGCCCUGUGCACGUAUCCGCGACUGCCGGCCGGUGAUGAGGUCACCGUCCUAGCGCCGAACGAGCGAUCGCCGUCGGAGGUGAUUCCCAGCGAGCGCAUUCUUGUCACGCGCGGCAGCACCAACUGGCGGGAGCACACCGCGCCGCUCUCGCACUGCGCGCACUACUACUUCAACCGCAUGUGCAACCGCGGCAAGCGCUGCAAUUUCAUCCACUCCGUGCACGUGGACCCGAACGUGCAAGGCGACUUCAAGCAUGCGCCUGCGCCAAGGGCCGUGGCGCCGAUUGCGCCCAAGCCAUCAAACUCGGCGGCCUCGCGCGCUGCAAGCGGAGCGCAGGCUACAUCAAACGAUUGGCACCACCAGUCCAGCGCUCACCACGGCGGCGCCGCAGCACGGACGGCGCCUUCGGCGAAGCAGCCGCAACCGCUGCCGCCGGCGCAGCAGAACAGCGCCAACAACGUCGCCAACGCGGGCGGUGGAAUCGCCUACGCCUUCGCGCCGAGUAUAUUUGCCCUGCCGCCGCACGGAUGUAUGGCGUACCCCCUGCUGAACACCACAUCAUCGCCGACCGCGAUGGGGGUACCGCAGUCGCCGGGUGGCGUAGCAGGGGGCGCACCGUACGUGAUGCUCAUGAACAGCGCCGGCCAGCAGGUGGGCUGCAGCUACGUUUCAGCCACCUUGAUGCCCUCAACCCCGCAGCAGAUGGGCGGCUCCAACGGCGUCUUCUUGAUUGUGCCGACGGCCAACGGGUCUGGUGGGUCAUUGGGUGGCAGCGGCGCUCCUCUCGGCAGCCCCGGAGUCCCUGUCUCCCCUCUGGGUCAGUCUUUCAGCAGUCUGAGCAACGGCCCCGUUAACUGGUGAUUGUAUGGACACUUGGGCCGCAGCUGCGGCUGUAGCGGCGAAAAGCGAAUACAAGAGGGACGAUGUGCUUCUGUGUGCCUUGGGAGCGUGGUUCUCUUCGUUUCUCUCAGUGAUUUUUUUUUUAUAUGUCGACCUCCUCUGUUGUGGCGGCCGUCCCUGUUCUCCUCUCACUGUCAUCCAAAGCCUGUGUAUGUGUGUAUGCAUAUACAUGUAUGUUUAUAUGUGUAUGCAUGUACGUAUAUAUAUAUUUAUAUGUAUAUACAUAUAUACAUAAAUAUAUAUAUAUAUAUAUAUAUAUAUAGGGAUAUUCCACUGAAGCUUUUGUGUGCACGUGUACGGGUGGUGCUCUUUUUUUCUGCGUGUUCACGUCUUCAUGCCUUGUAGUUCUUUGUUCUUUUCUAUACCUCUGAAGGGAAGUGUGUUGGUACGUUCUGUUCUCCCUCUGUUGCUUUUCUUUUUGCCCGCCCUUUCUUCCUUCCUCCCUCUCUCCUCCCUCCUCCUUCCUCGGCUUAUCGGUAGUAGUCGUUGUUUCGUGUGCGGUUGUUGCUCUUUUCAUUUUCGCCUUUGAUUUUUCGCUGUUUCUGUCUGUGUCGUGUUUUCGCGUUGCGAUUUUUUUUCAUGUUCGUUAUCAUUUAGAGGUGCCUCUGUUGAAACGACGCAGGGAUGCGUAGGGAGGUGGAGAUGUGCACAUUCGUCGGUGCCGGUGUGUGUGUGUGCUCCCUCUCUGCCGCUGCCUCUGCAUCUUGCUGUGCUUUCUGUUAGGCUUCACUUAAUCUUACGCAUGUGUCCUUUUCCUUUUUCCCAUGUUGUGUCCCUCGAUGGAUGUGCAUGCUUGAAUUCAUUGAUGGGUGCGGUGCCGGCUGCGAUUAUCAACGAAAAGAAAGGAAAAACAACAAACAAUGUUGACCUCCUUGUCUUCCUCCUGCAUCAAUAUUUUGCGCUCAACGCGCCUCUCCGUCUUUGCCUUCUCUAGUACUGCUGCUGCUGCUGCUCUCACCGUCGCCUCGGUACAGCGGGACAUCAGUCGGCAGCUGAGGAUGCACCCACACGCACACGUACCCACCGACGCACAUACACACACGCGGAAAAACAGCACCCAAAGAAAGGACCAACAAAAAACGACGGGCAAAAACAGUACAGCUGAACAACAACAACCCUUAAAAAAACGCUAACAGGUCAAACCAAGUAAAAAACAAACCAAACACGGACACACACACACACACACACACACACAAAGUAGCUCAUCUAAAAUUCAAAUUUUUUCUCUGUGUUUCUCAAGUGUAUGUGUGGAGGAAGGGGAGGGGGAAUGUUUUUUUUUUCUAAUUCUUUUUUUUCGCGUGUGCAUUUGUGCCCGUGCGUUUAGACCUUUCACGGUUGUUGAUUUUGUUCUGCAAGUCAUCUUGUUUUUUUUUCCCCUUUAUCUUUCGUGCACCCGUGAUGAAGGGGGUGGGGAGGAGACCGCGGUACGUGGUUUCUUAAGGUGCACUGCCCGCUCUGUGUGCACGAAAGCCAAGCAGCCUCCCCCUAUCCCCUGCCAAUGCCGAACCACCUCUGGUGGUGCCACGGCUAAGCGCCUGCGACGUCGGGGAGUCAAAGCGCUUCAUCGCUGUUGAUGUCGGCGGUGAUGUCCUGGAUGGCACCGUGCCGGAGCGACCUGCGACGGUGAGCACGCUUGUGCCAUCCAUGUGCCGGCGACGUGUCGGCGUCGCUCGAACGCGUAUCCCACCCCCGGCCCACGCACUGCCUUACUGGCGUGAGGGGCCUGAGUGCCACCCCGAGGGGGAUGUACACCAGGUGUGGUGACCGGCAUGAUGGGGGAGCCGCUGUGAGGCGACCUGCGGAGCCGAGUGUGGGUAGAGCUCGAGGCCGAGGCCGAGGCCGAGGCCGUGCUCAGGUGGCUGAGUGGACGCAGUGCUGUAAGGCGCGUGCCCCCAGGGCUGCUUGGCACGACGCGAGGGUGCCUGUGACGGGCCAAGAGGCUGGGGGUAGAGUGGAGUUUGACGCAUAUGGCAGCGAAACGGGUACGCUGACGAAACAGAACCUAAAUCUCAAUGUAUAUGCUACGCGCCAAGCUUGUUCUUCGUUUAGUGAUUCUCAUCCUUCGUGUUCUCAGCCUCCCUCUUUUUGUUUUGUCUUGUCGUCUUCCAUUGUUUUUUUUUUCGUUUUUUUUUUCACUGUUGGCUUCUUUUUUAAUGUGUCGUUCUUUUCACUGUGCCAUACCCCCCCCCCCCCCCCCUCAUUAAAGGCACCGUCGUCUGUGACGGGAAGAAGGACGGAAGAAGAAGUAGCUAAUUCGACGCACACACACACACACACAUUAGGGAUGGAAUAAAAAAAUGUGAAUGAUGGUGAUGCACGCUUGCGUGCGUGUGCUCCCGCAUUCGGCGCUGUUGUGUAUCACCGCUCUGUGUGUAGCUUUUCUUGUUCUCUGUUCGAUCUUGCACUUUGCUGAGCUGCUUUUCCUUGAUUGCUUGGCCUUGCCAGAUUUUUUUUUUUGUGCUUUCCCUUCUCUGUGCAGCGCAACCAAGCGCGUAUGGAUCUACGGGUUUGUGGGAGUGCGCGCUUAGAGGCAGAAUGACGGAGGUGCGCACUCCUCGCCCCCUGCCAUACCCAAAUGGGCAACGUGCUUCUGCAUCGAUCAGAUCGCGCACAUUUGUCUUUCUCUUAGCGUGCACUUCCCCAGGUACCUUCCUGUCUCACACCUCUGUCCCCGCGUAUCCCUACUAUCCCACCCUCUCUCUACAUCGCUUUAUGUUUUACUUUUUUUUUUGGCGACCCUCUCUGACCUCUUCUCUCAAACGGCACAGGCUAACAUGG